Phasianus colchicus (ring-necked pheasant) is the source of this 1172-nucleotide non-coding RNA. The record is from RefSeq and is a predicted model, not a curated record. Lineage: Eukaryota; Metazoa; Chordata; Aves; Galliformes; Phasianidae.
AUAGCAGGGGGUUGGAACUGGAUGAGCAUUGUGGCCUUUUUCAACCCAGGCCAUUCUAUGAUUCUAUGACGAUGCUUUCCCUCCCCAAGCGAUGAACCCCAGCAUUAAUUUCUGAAGCCAGUUUGCUUUGCUGCAGCUCGAGAGAAGUGGGCAGAGUGGGGACUGUCAGAAACUCGCUUCCUAUUGGUCCUAAUGGUUCCUAAUGGCAGUUUUUACUUCACAUCUGCACACCCUGAAGCUUGAAAACAAUGCAUUUCUAAUGCGGCCCUUCCCUUUCCCCCCUGUGCAGCAGUACAAAGUGAUCUCGGUUAAAAAUAAAAUAAAAAUAACCCCAGAUUCCUGAUACUGAACAAAAGGAGGCAAUUGCACAACUCUGAACCGUCAUCAGGAUUUGGGACGUCAUCAACUCAGGAGCAAGCAGCAGCGUGGCCGUUCCCCAUCAAUCAGGGACAGACAGAAGGACACACCUAUGAGACCACUGCUGUCAUGAGGGUUUAAAUACUGCCUAAUUAUGUUGCAACUUCUACUCCCAGAUUUCUGUAGAGAAGAUUGCUGAUGCUGCGUGAUCUCUUUGCAAAACGCCCCCAGGGGAAAGAAGGCUGAAACCACUGCAAGAGAAAUGAACCAGAGCCAUACUGAGUUAGCCUGAGUUCCACCCACAUCCCUGGGACUGGAGAUUCCUGUUAGCUGGUUCUAAGUGUUUAUCUGCAACCAAGAUCUCAGCAGUCUAAAUGCCUCUCUUGAUUGUUCAAGGUUUCGUCGCCAUCUCAUGCACAGCUCAGGAGAUGGAGCUGAAAGGCACAGGAUGGUUCAGCAGCAAGCUGGUGUAUGUGGGAGUAGGAGAGCUGGGAGGUGUUUAUCAGGGCUGUGUCUGCACUGGCAGUAUUUACCACAUUAGCCUGCAGCACCGAUGUCUUCAGCCAUAACAUCUCAGUUGCAGCCUCCAGAAGUAUUUCCCUAGAAGACUGAAUGCAGAAAAAAGGCAAGCAUGUGUCAGUUCCCUUCAAGGUUGACCACAAGAGUACCCUCAGCAGACACAUUGCCUCAAGGUCUUCAGCCUCACCACCAGGAACAGGAGGCAGAGUCCCACCACGACCCCGCAAACCGCUCCAGCAAUCAUGCCAAUAUUUUGGGCAUCUGUUGUCCAAAAAAUAAACAGAUUAACAGGUAAA